GAGGGUAUAGCUCAGUGGUAGAGCAUGUGCUUAACAUACAUGAGUUCCUGGAUUCAAUUCCCAGUACCUCCA
RNAcentral lists this transfer RNA (72 nucleotides) under Camelus bactrianus (Bactrian camel). It matches the Rfam family "tRNA". From Rfam's summary of the family: Transfer RNA (tRNA) molecules are approximately 80 nucleotides in length. Their secondary structure includes four short double-helical elements and three loops (D, anti-codon, and T loops). Lineage: Eukaryota; Metazoa; Chordata; Mammalia; Artiodactyla; Camelidae. The record is from Rfam by way of RNAcentral. RNAcentral also lists the same sequence under 2 other names.